Molecule: ribosomal RNA, 541 nt
Filed under: uncultured bacterium
Lineage: Bacteria
Description: bacterial SSU rRNA
Rfam family: Bacterial small subunit ribosomal RNA
Source: RNAcentral
UGAGGAAUAUUGGUCAAUGGACGGAAGUCUGAACCAGCCAAGUAGCGUGCAGGAUGACGGCCCUAUGGGUUGUAAACUGCUUUUAUGCGGGGAUAAAGUUAGUCACGUGUGACUAUUUGCAGGUACCGCAUGAAUAAGGACCGGCUAAUUCCGUGCCAGCAGCCGCGGUAAUACGGAAGGUCCCGGCGUUAUCCGGAUUUAUUGGGUUUAAAGGGAGCGUAGGCCGUGGAUUAAGCGUGUUGUGAAAUGUAGACGCUCAACGUCUGACUUGCAGCGCGAACUGGUUCACUUGAGUGUGCGCAACGCAGGCGGAAUUCGUGGUGUAGCGGUGAAAUGCUUAGAUAUCACGAAGAACUCCGAUUGCGAAGGCAGCUUGCGGGAGCACAACUGACGCUGAAGCUCGAAAGUGCGGGUAUCAAACAGGAUUAGAUACCCUGGUAGUCCGCACAGUAAACGAUGGAUGCCCGUUCUUCGUUCUUUUGAAUGAGGGACCAAGCGAAAGCAUUAAGCAUCCCACCUGGGGAGUACGCCGGCAACGGUG